RNAcentral lists this small RNA (906 nucleotides) under Paracholeplasma vituli. RNAcentral describes it as "bacterial LSU rRNA". The stretch from base 455 to 906 matches the Rfam family "Bacterial large subunit ribosomal RNA", at positions 1 to 497 of the family's 2925-position model. Lineage: Bacteria; Bacillati; Mycoplasmatota; Mollicutes; Acholeplasmatales; Acholeplasmataceae. The record is from RNAcentral.
CGCCCGUCAAACCACGAAAGUUGAUAAUACCCAACGCCGGUGGCCUAACCGCAAGGAGGGAGCCGUCUAAGGUAGGAUCAAUGAUUGGGGUUAAGUCGUAACAAGGUAUCCCUACGGGAACGUGGGGAUGGAUCACCUCCUUUCUAAGGAAAACAUGGCUUAAGAAGCUGUGAACGAGACUUUGUUUACAAAGUUCUCACAAACGAGAUUUUAUCUAAAAUCUCCCAAACAUUCUGCAUUACUCAUCAUAUUCAGUUUUGAAAGACUUAUGUCUUUUAGAAGGGCCUAUAGCUCAGCUGGUUAGAGCGCACGGCUGAUAACCGUGAGGUCGAUGGUUCGAGUCCAUUUAGGCCCACCAUUUAAGUGGUGCACUCACAAGUGAGCUAAACCCUUAAAAAUGUUUUAUCCAACCUAAUGGUUGAGAUCUUUGAAAAGUAGAUAAAUUCUGACGUAAGGUUAAGGAAGAGAAGGCACGCAGUGGAUGCCUUGGCACUAAGCACCGAUGAAGGACGCAACUAACGGCGAAACGCCACGGGGAGCAGUAAGUACGCGACGAUCCGUGGGAUUCCGAAUGAGGCAACUCAGCAUGUGGAAGACAUGUUAUCCCAGCAAUGGGAGGGGGACGCAGGGAAUUGAAAUAUCUCAGUACCUGUAGGAAAAGAAAGUAAUAAACGAUUCUAGUAGUAGCGACGAGCGAACCUGGAGGAGCCUGUUUUGCAUAAUAGUUACAAAACCAGAUUAUAGACGAAUGGCAUGGGAAGGCCAAUCGAAGAAGGUGAGAAUCCUGUAGUCGAAAUGAUCUGGACUAGGCAAACGAGAAGUAGGGCGGGACACGAGAAAUCCCGUUUGAAGAACGGAGGACCAUCUCCGAAGGCUAAAUAUGUCUUAGUGACCGAUAGUGAACCA